This is a non-coding RNA of Paramuricea clavata, 273 nucleotides long. Lineage: Eukaryota; Metazoa; Cnidaria; Anthozoa; Malacalcyonacea; Plexauridae. The record is from the annotation of a GenBank genome assembly.
AGUUAAAGUGCUUAUAUCACUUGUGGGACCUUUACAGAUUUGAAAAGAGCGUAAAAAGUUAGUUAAUAAGUUUAAAUACUUUUUUUUAUUUAGCGCAAUAAUUUCAAAGAUACAGGCCUCUAAACUACAUACAAUUCCUGAGUCCCAGGCUUCUAUGCACAAUGGACAGUUUCGAAAGAGGCCAAAUUCAAUAGCCGUAUUUAGACCCCAGGAGGCUGGGACUCAGGAACAGUUCGUUGUUUAAAAGCCUAUAUCCUCAAAACUAUUGCACUA